UACAGAGGGGGCAAGCGUUGUUCGGAAUUACUGGGCGUAAGGGGCGCGUAGGCGGCCUGCUAAGUCGAACGUGAAAUCCCUGGGCUCAACCCAGGAACUGCGUCCGAUACUGGUUGGCUUGAAUCCGGGAGAGGGAUGUGGAAUUCCAGGUGUAGCGGUGAAAUGCGUAGAUAUCUGGAGGAACACCGGUGGCGAAGGCGACAUCCUGGACCGGCAUUGACGCUGAGGCGCGAAAGCCAGGGGAGCAAACGGG
RNAcentral lists this ribosomal RNA (253 nucleotides) under uncultured bacterium. RNAcentral's name for it is "partial 16S ribosomal RNA". It matches the Rfam family "Bacterial small subunit ribosomal RNA", at positions 524 to 776 of the family's 1533-position model. The record is from RNAcentral.